AGCGAACGCUGGCGGCAGGCCUAACACAUGCAAGUCGAACGAACUCUUCGGAGUUAGUGGCGGACGGGUGAGUAACCCGUUGGAACGUGCCUUUUGGUUUGGCAUAACUCAGGGAAUCUCGUGCUAAUACCGAAUGUGCCCUUCGGGGGGACGUUUUAUCGCCAUUAGAGCGGCCGGCGUCGUAUUACCUAGUUGGUGAGCUAACGCCGCACCACGGCGACGAUCAGUAGCUGGUCUGAGAGGAUGAGCAGCCACACUGGGACUGAGACACGGCCCAGACUACUGCGGGAGGCAGCAGUGGGGAAUCUUGCGCAAUGGGCGGAAUCCUGACGCAGCCAUGCCUCGAGAAUGAUGAAGGUCUGAGGAUUGUAAAGUUCUUUCACCGGGGACGAUAAUGACGGUACCCGGAGAAGAAGCCCCGGCUAACUUCGUG
Molecule: ribosomal RNA, 433 nt
Filed under: uncultured bacterium
Lineage: Bacteria
Description: partial 16S ribosomal RNA
Rfam family: Bacterial small subunit ribosomal RNA
Source: RNAcentral